Molecule: ribosomal RNA, 254 nt
Filed under: uncultured bacterium
Lineage: Bacteria
Also listed under: 1 other name
Description: partial 16S ribosomal RNA
Rfam family: Bacterial small subunit ribosomal RNA
Source: RNAcentral
UACGUAGGGUCCGAGCGUUGUCCGGAUUUAUUGGGCGUAAAGAGCUCGUAGGCGGCUCAGUAAGUCGGAUGUGAAAACUCAGGGCUCAACCCUGAGACGCCAUCCGAUACUGCUGUGGCUUGAGUCUGGUAGGGGAGAACGGAAUUCCAGGUGUAGCGGUGAAAUGCGCAGAUAUCUGGAGGAACACCGAUGGCGAAGGCAGUUCUCUGGGCCAGUACUGACGCUGAGGAGCGAAAGCGUGGGGAGCAAACAGG